RNAcentral lists this transfer RNA (71 nucleotides) under Planiliza haematocheilus (so-iny mullet). RNAcentral's name for it is "tRNA-Pro". It matches the Rfam family "tRNA". From Rfam's summary of the family: Transfer RNA (tRNA) molecules are approximately 80 nucleotides in length. Their secondary structure includes four short double-helical elements and three loops (D, anti-codon, and T loops). Further hydrogen bonds mediate the characteristic L-shaped molecular structure. tRNAs have two regions of fundamental functional importance: the anti-codon, which is responsible for specific mRNA codon recognition, and the 3' end, to which the tRNAs corresponding amino acid is attached (by aminoacyl-tRNA synthetases). tRNAs cope with the degeneracy of the genetic code in two manners: having more than one tRNA (with a specific anti-codon) for a particular amino acid; and 'wobble' base-pairing, i.e. permitting non-standard base-pairing at the 3rd anti-codon position. Lineage: Eukaryota; Metazoa; Chordata; Actinopteri; Mugiliformes; Mugilidae. The record is from RNAcentral.
CAAAGAGUAGUUUAAUAAUAAAAUUAUAGCUUUGGGAGCUAUAGAUAGGAGUUGAAGUCUUCUCUCUUUGA